AGGACGAACGCUGGCGGCGCGCCUAAUACAUGCAAGUCGAGCGAGAACCGGGACUUCGGUCCCGGGGACAGCGGCGAACGGGUGCGUAACACGUGAGCAACCUGCCCCGAAGACCGGGACAAGCCGGGGAAACCUGGUCUAAUACCGGAUGCCCUCACCGAAUCGCAUGGUGUGGUGAGGAAAUGGAUUCCGCUUCGGGAUGGGCUCGCGGUCUAUCAGCUUGUUGGUGAGGUAAUGGCCCGCCAAGGCGACGACGGAUAGCUGGUCUGAGAGGACGAUCAGCCACACUGGGACUGAGACACGGCCCAGACUCCUACGGGAGGCAGCAGUAGGGAAUCUUGCGCAAUGAGGGAAACCUUGACGCAGCGACGCCGCGUGCGGGAUGAAGGCCUUCGGGUUGUAAACCGCUUUCAGCGGGGACGAAUUGACGGUACCUGCAGAAGAAGGCCCGGCCAACUACGUGCCAGCAGCCGC
This 474-nucleotide ribosomal RNA is filed under the name uncultured bacterium. RNAcentral's name for it is "SSU rRNA". It matches the Rfam family "Bacterial small subunit ribosomal RNA", at positions 26 to 518 of the family's 1533-position model. The record is from RNAcentral.